UACGUAGGGUGCAAGCGUUGUCCGGAAUUAUUGGGCGUAAAGAGUUCGUAGGCGGUUUGUCGCGUCCGUUGUGAAAGCCCCGGGCUUAACCUGGGAAGUGCAUCGCAAACGACAAUACUGGAGUAUAUGAGAGGGUGGCGGAAUUUCCGGUGUAGCGGUGAAAUGCGUAGAUAUUGGGAGGAACAUCGGUGGCGAAGGCGGCUACCUGGACGGGUACUGACGCUGAUGCGCGAAAGCUAGGGGAGCAAACAGG
This 253-nucleotide ribosomal RNA is filed under the name uncultured bacterium. RNAcentral describes it as "partial 16S ribosomal RNA". It matches the Rfam family "Bacterial small subunit ribosomal RNA", at positions 524 to 776 of the family's 1533-position model. The record is from RNAcentral.